UACGUAGGGUCCAAGCGUUAUCCGGAAUCACUGGGCGUAAAGCGUGCGUAGGUGGGUAAUUAAGUGCGAUGCGAAAUCCUGUGGCUCAACCAUACGGACUGUACCGCAUACUGGUUACCUAGAGGAUAUGAGAGGCAAGUGGAAUUACCGGUGUAGCAGUGAAAUGCGUAGAUAUCGGUAGGAACACCAAUGGCGAAGGCAGCUUGCUGGCAUAUUUCUGACGCUAAGGCACGAAAGCGUGGGGAGCGAACAGG
RNAcentral lists this ribosomal RNA (254 nucleotides) under uncultured bacterium. RNAcentral describes it as "partial 16S ribosomal RNA". It matches the Rfam family "Bacterial small subunit ribosomal RNA", at positions 524 to 776 of the family's 1533-position model. The record is from RNAcentral.